This 493-nucleotide ribosomal RNA is filed under the name uncultured bacterium. RNAcentral describes it as "partial 16S ribosomal RNA". It matches the Rfam family "Bacterial small subunit ribosomal RNA", at positions 29 to 507 of the family's 1533-position model. The record is from RNAcentral.
AGUGAACGCUGGCGGUAGGCCUAACACAUGCAAGUCGAACGGCAGCACAGUAAGAGCUUGCUCUUACGGGUGGCGAGUGGCGGACGGGUGAGGAAUACAUCGGAAUCUACUUUUUCGUGGGGGAUAACGUAGGGAAACUUACGCUAAUACCGCAUACGACCUACGGGUGAAAGCAGGGGAUCUUCGGACCUUGCGCGAUUGAAUGAGCCGAUGUCGGAUUAGCUAGUUGGCGGGGUAAAGGCCCACCAAGGCGACGAUCCGUAGCUGGUCUGAGAGGAUGAUCAGCCACACUGGAACUGAGACACGGUCCAGACUCCUACGGGAGGCAGCAGUGGGGAAUAUUGGACAAAGGGCGCAAGCCUGAUCCAGCCAUACCGCGUGGGUGAAGAAGGCCUUCGGGUUGUAAAGCCCUUUUUGUUGGGAAAGAAAAGCAGCAGGUUAAUACCCCGCUGUUCUGACGGUACCCAAAGAAUAAGCACCGGCUAACUUCGUG